CAAGUAAGACAGGUGAUCGCAUCUGCAUGCGCCGAAAGGCCGCAGAUGAGGAAAGUCCGGGCUUCACAGGGCAGGAUGCCGGAUAACGUCCGGUGGAGGCGACUCCAAGGAAAGUGCAACAGAAAUGAACCGCCUUCUUCUGGAAGGUAAGGGUGGAAGGGCAGUGUAAGAGACUACCGCCUCUCUGGUAACAGAGAGGGCACAUGUAAACCCCAUCCGAAGCAAGACCGGAAAAAGACAAUGUGGUGGCCCGUCACGUCUUAGGUUGGUUGCUCGAGCCCAUCGGCGACGAUGGGCCUGGAUAGAUGAUCACUCAACGACAUAACCCGGCUUAUCGUUUUGCUUGCAUU
This 350-nucleotide RNase P RNA is filed under the name Mordavella massiliensis. Its description in RNAcentral is "Bacterial RNase P class A". It matches the Rfam family "Bacterial RNase P class A". Rfam says of the family: Ribonuclease P (RNase P) is a ubiquitous endoribonuclease, found in archaea, bacteria and eukarya as well as chloroplasts and mitochondria. The record is from Rfam by way of RNAcentral. Lineage: Bacteria; Bacillati; Bacillota; Clostridia; Eubacteriales; Clostridiaceae.